RNAcentral lists this ribosomal RNA (253 nucleotides) under uncultured bacterium. RNAcentral's name for it is "partial 16S ribosomal RNA". It matches the Rfam family "Bacterial small subunit ribosomal RNA", at positions 524 to 776 of the family's 1533-position model. The record is from RNAcentral.
UACGUAGGCAGCGAGCGUUGUUCGGAGUUACUGGGCGUAAAGCGUCCGCAGGUGGCAGUUCAAGUCUGCUGUCAAAGACCGGGGCUUAACUUCGGAAAGGCAGUGGAAACUGAACAGCUAGAGUAUGGUAGGGGCAGAGGGAAUUCCUGGUGUAGCGGUGAAAUGCGUAGAGAUCAGGAAGAACAUCGGUGGCGAAGGCGCUCUGCUGGACCAUAACUGACACUCAGGGACGAAAGCUAGGGGAGCGAAUGGG